This 302-nucleotide ribosomal RNA is filed under the name uncultured bacterium. Its description in RNAcentral is "partial 16S ribosomal RNA". It matches the Rfam family "Bacterial small subunit ribosomal RNA", at positions 100 to 396 of the family's 1533-position model. The record is from RNAcentral.
AAAAAAAAACAAGUGAGUAACCUGCCCUUGACGUUGGGAUAACUUCAGGACACUUGGUCUAAUACCGGCUACGAGCUCCUGCUGCAUGUUGGUGGUUGGAAAGUUUCGGCGGUUGUUGAUUGACUCGCGGCUUAUCAGCGUGUUGGUGGGGUAGUGGCUUACCAAGGAUUUGACGGGUAGCCGGCCUGAGAGGGUGACCGGACAAAUUGGGACGGGAAUGUGGCAGAGACUACUACGGGAUGCAGCAGUGGGGAAUAUUGCACAAUGGGCGGAACCAUGAUGCAGUAAUGUAUUUUUUUUUA